GACGAACGCUGGCGGCGUGCUUAACACAUGCAAGUCGAACGGAAAGGCCCUGCUUUUGUGGGGUGCUCGAGUGGCGAACGGGUGAGUAACACGUGAGUAACCUGCCCUUGACUUUGGGAUAACUUCAGGAAACUGGGGCUAAUACCGGAUAGGAGCUCCUGCUGCAUGGUGGGGGUUGGAAAGUUUCGGCGGUUGGGGAUGGACUCGCGGCUUAUCAGCUUGAUGGUGGGGUAGUGGCUUACCAAGGCUUUGACGGGUAGCCGGCCUGAGAGGGUGACCGGCCACAUUGGGACUGAGAUACGGCCCAGACUCCUACGGGAGGCAGCAGUGGGGAAUAUUGCACAAUGGGCGGAAGCCUGAUGCAGCAACGCCGCGUGCGGGAUGACGGCCUUCGGGUUGUAAACCGCUUUCGCCUGUGACGAGGCGUGAGUGACGGUAAUGGGUAAAGAAGCACCGGCUAACUACGUG
This 468-nucleotide ribosomal RNA is filed under the name uncultured bacterium. RNAcentral's name for it is "partial 16S ribosomal RNA". It matches the Rfam family "Bacterial small subunit ribosomal RNA", at positions 28 to 507 of the family's 1533-position model. The record is from RNAcentral.